GACGAACGCUGGCGGCGUGCUUAACACAUGCAAGUCGAACGGAAAGGCCCUGCUUUUGUGGGGUGCUCGAGUGGCGAACGGGUGAGUAACACGCGAGUAACCUGCCCUUGACUUUGUGAUAACUUCGGGAAACUGGGGCUAAUACCGGAUAGGAGCUCCUGCUGCAUGGUGGGGGUUGGAAAGUUUCGGCGGUUGGGGAUGGACUCGCGGCUUAUCAGCCUGUUGGUGGGGUAGUGGCUUACCAAGGCUUUGACGGGUAGCCGGCCUGAGAGAGUGACCGGCCACAUUGGGACUGAGAGAGGGCCCAGACUCAUAAGGGACGGAGCAGUGGGGAAUAUUGCACAAUGGGCGGCAGCCUGGUGCAGCAACGACGCGUGCGGGGGGACGGCCUUCGGGUUGUAAACCGCUUUCGCCGGUGACGAAGAGUGAGUGACGGUAAUGGGUAAAGAAGCACCGGCUAACUACGUG
RNAcentral lists this ribosomal RNA (468 nucleotides) under uncultured bacterium. RNAcentral's name for it is "partial 16S ribosomal RNA". It matches the Rfam family "Bacterial small subunit ribosomal RNA", at positions 28 to 507 of the family's 1533-position model. The record is from RNAcentral.